AGUGGGUAUAUAGAUGCGUGGUGAUUGAUUAUAAUUUUUAAAGUUCAGCAUCCUCAAAAUAGUGGCGCACUCACGAACGGGAGUAAGGAGGGCGCUUGGCACGGUUUUAUAUUUGCGCUUUCUUCUUAUUAUCUGUUCGUUUUAAUUUUGGAGGGAGGGGGCCCGGGGAAGAUUUUUAUCUGCUUCAAUCCAUUUUUCUAAUCUUCAGCUAUGAAGCUUCGAUUUUCGCAUUCGUUUGCUCUUCUUGGUGUUGUUGCUGGGUGGACAAGAACGGGAGGUACUGAGUUUGAGCUUGCUAAGACAUAGAGUGUGCACGACAUUAUCGGCCGCUUGAAGAGUGCCCCUGGCGGAUAUAAACAUGUUGCCGAUGACGGAGUUAUACGCUCCUUCGGUCUAGAUGGCGCUGUGGUUGACGCUGCAAGGCUGACGAAUGCACAGCUCAUGAAAACUGCCCUCGAUCAUUACGACCCAGAUGCGCGGAAGCACUUGGAGGAGUGGCGUUGAUGGUCACAAUGUCUCGGACAGUCAGCUCUAUGCACCAGAGAACACUUGCUCCCUCUCUUCGUUACAAAUAAGACUAUAGAAAUGCACCUUCAGCAGAGUGAGGAGGAACAGCUCACCUUAUUUGGACGGAUCAUGGAUGGCCUUAGGAACCGGCGGCAUGAUCCUCCAAGUUCUGAUGAAUGCUGUUCCUAUAUUUUAUGCCGUG
RNAcentral lists this small RNA (709 nucleotides) under Histoplasma capsulatum. Its description in RNAcentral is "hypothetical RNA". RNAcentral also lists the same sequence under 1 other name. Lineage: Eukaryota; Fungi; Ascomycota; Eurotiomycetes; Onygenales; Ajellomycetaceae. The record is from RNAcentral.